Molecule: ribosomal RNA, 253 nt
Filed under: uncultured bacterium
Lineage: Bacteria
Description: partial 16S ribosomal RNA
Rfam family: Bacterial small subunit ribosomal RNA
Source: RNAcentral
UACAGAGGGUGCGAACGUUGCUCGGAAUUACUGGGCGUAAAGCGCGUGUAGGCGGGUCGGCAAGUCAGGCGUGAAAACCCCAGGCUCAACCUGGGAACUGCGCUUGAAACUGCCGGUCUUGAGUAUCGGAGAGGGUGGCGGAAUUCCUGGUGUAGAGGUGAAAUUCGUAGAUAUCAGGAGGAACACCGGUGGCGAAGGCGGCCACCUGGACGAUUACUGACGCUGAGACGCGAAAGCGUGGGGAGCAAACAGG